Molecule: long non-coding RNA, 596 nt
Organism: Mastomys coucha (southern multimammate mouse)
Lineage: Eukaryota; Metazoa; Chordata; Mammalia; Rodentia; Muridae
Exons: 2
Source: RefSeq, a predicted model, not a curated record
UUGAGCUCAGGUCACGAGGCUUGCACAGAAAGCUCUUUUCACUUGUUGAACCAUCUGAUUGGCCUCGAAGACAAACCUUAGAGAUAAAUGGGCCUGCUUGAGAGCCAACCACGCCCCAUUCUGCAGGAAAGCUCCCCACCUGUGCCUGGCACACGGAGGAAAGCCUACGCUUUGACUAUGGAAUUCGGUCAUCCUGAAAUCAGGACUGUGAGAUUGUAGAUUUAUCCCAGGCAUUACAUAUACCAACCACCUCCACAGAAGCUCCCUGGGUGAUGCUUCAGCCAUCUGACAGAUGAUCAUCUCUCUCAGGAUCACAUCUUGCCUAUAGCUGCUACCUAUGACUAUCCUAGGGUCACCAAAAGUGGAAGCCAUUGUGUCUGCCACUCCCUGCAACCGAACUGGUGCUUCUUGCCUCUCAGUCAUCCUGCAGAGGCUGUGUGGCAGACAGUCACUGCAGUGUGGGGUUUCUACGACACAAGCCAGAAAGAGCCAGAGGAGAAUAUGUGGCAAAGAAAUUACUGUUUCGCUCAAUCUCAAAGAUUAAUGAUCUAUUCCAUCGGUAAAGCUAAUAGAAUCAAGGAGCACCAGUACACCUA